UACUUAUAUGUAGACAAAUCAAAAUGUCGGUCUACAUAAAAUGUUUUAUUUUUCUCAUCAUUUUUAUGGAAUUUGAUUUUUCAUCGCAGCAGGAUGUUAGUUGUGACAUACAUGACCGAACUAACUCUUGCCCAGAUGGGUUUUGUUGCGUCAGAGACCAGUUUCUUCCCCAAUAUGUGUACUGUAAGAAAAUAGGUCAACCAGGAUCUCAUUGUCGACACGUCCAAGAUGAAUCUGUGUGUAACUGUGACGUUGGACUGACGUGUGUUCCAAACUUAGACGUUCCUACUUUUGUCUCUAUUUAUGGCACGUGUCAUAAUUUAACAAAACCAACAUAAUUAUGAUUAAGAUCCUCCAAUUUCUAUAUAUAAAUACUUAAAAUUAUCGUGUCCCAAUGCAUUUCACAGGAUGACGCAAGAACCAUCAUGUUGUCGAACUAAUAGGACUUCGGACUAAGAGAUGUUCGGGCUUAUUAGAAUGAGGGAUAUUUUGGACCAUCAUCUAUUUAUUUACUGACUGGCAAAAUAGAUAAGUCGAUUAACGAAGAUUCAUAAAUUGUCACAAUGACUGAGUUUAUAAUAAUAGUAAAGUAUUAAUAAAUAAUAUACAUGUAUACAAUUUGAAGCACCGCAUGGUUUACACAAAACUCAAAAGAGACAAAAAUAGUAUGAAUAUAUAGCACUACAUGAAUACACAUUAAAGCACUACAUGAAUACACAUUAAAGCACUAUAACAUAUAUAAUACACAUUAAAGCAUUAUUACAUGAAUACACUUUAAAACACUAUUGCAUGUGUAAUCUUUACAGACAACAAUUUGAAGCUUAUUAUUUCUACAUAACAUUAUAUUUACAUUAUUUGAAAAUGAGAAAAAAAAUAUUUAAAAAAUCUACAAACUACAAAUGGCCUGUUGUUUGUCG
Molecule: long non-coding RNA, 917 nt
Organism: Mytilus trossulus (common blue mussel)
Lineage: Eukaryota; Metazoa; Mollusca; Bivalvia; Mytilida; Mytilidae
Exons: 2
Source: RefSeq, a predicted model, not a curated record